This 514-nucleotide ribosomal RNA is filed under the name Gadopsis bispinosus. RNAcentral describes it as "partial 16S ribosomal RNA". It matches the Rfam family "Bacterial large subunit ribosomal RNA", at positions 1919 to 2578 of the family's 2925-position model. Lineage: Eukaryota; Metazoa; Chordata; Actinopteri; Centrarchiformes; Percichthyidae. The record is from RNAcentral.
UAUGUUUAACGGCCGCGGUAUUUUAACCGUGCGAAGGUAGCGCAAUCACUUGUCUUUUAAAUGAAGACCUGUAUGAAUGGCAUAACGAGGGCUUAACUGUCUCCUUUUCUAAGUCAAUGAAAUUGAUCUUUCCGUGCAGAAGCGGGAAUAACACCAUAAGACGAGAAGACCCUAUGGAGCUUUAGACAAAAGGUAGAUUACACUAAAUAACCUAAAUAAAAGGCUAAAAUAAAAGAAUACUAUCACCAUGUCUUCGGUUGGGGCGACCGCGGGGCACAUAAAACCCCCACGUGGACCAGGAGAACUUUUACCCUCACCUCCCAAAACUAAGAGCCCCCGCUCUAGUAAACAGAAUUUCUGACCAAAAAUGAUCCGGCAACGCCGAUCAACGGACCAAGUUACCCUAGGGAUAACAGCGCAAUCCCCUUUUAGAGUUCAUAUCGACAAGGGGGUUUACGACCUCGAUGUUGGAUCAGGACAUCCUAAUGGUGCAGCCGCUAUUAAGGGUUCGUUU